This 252-nucleotide ribosomal RNA is filed under the name uncultured bacterium. Its description in RNAcentral is "partial 16S ribosomal RNA". It matches the Rfam family "Bacterial small subunit ribosomal RNA", at positions 525 to 776 of the family's 1533-position model. The record is from RNAcentral.
ACAGAGGGUGCAAACGUUGUUCGGAAUUACUGGGCGUAAAGCGCGUGUAGGCGGCUAUGCAAGUCGGAUGUGAAAGCCCACGGCUCAACCGUGGAAGUGCACUCGAAACUGCGUAGCUAGAGUCCCGGAGAGGAAGGUGGAAUGCUUGGUGUAGAGGUGAAAUUCGUAGAUAUCAAGCGGAACACCGGUGGCGAAGGCGGCCUUCUGGACGGUGACUGACGCUGAGACGCGAAAGCGUGGGGAGCAAACAGG